RNAcentral lists this ribosomal RNA (694 nucleotides) under uncultured bacterium. RNAcentral's name for it is "bacterial SSU rRNA". It matches the Rfam family "Bacterial small subunit ribosomal RNA", at positions 60 to 800 of the family's 1533-position model. The record is from RNAcentral.
AGUCGAGCGAGACCUUCGGGUCUAGCGGCGGACGGGUGAGUAACGCGUGGGAACGUGCCCUUUGCUACGGAAUAGUCCCGGGAAACUGGGUUUAAUACCGUAUGUGCCCUUCGGGGGAAAGAUUUAUCGGCAAAGGAUCGGCCCGCGUUGGAUUAGGUAGUUGGUGGGGUAAUGGCCUACCAAGCCGACGAUCCAUAGCUGGUUUGAGAGGAUGAUCAGCCACACUGGGACUGAGACACGGCCCAGACUCCUACGGGAGGCAGCAGUGGGGAAUCUUAGACAAUGGGGGCAACCCUGAUCUAGCCGUGCCGCGUGAGUGAUGAAGGCCUUAGGGUUGUAAAGCUCUUUCAGCUGGGAAGAUAAUGACGGUACCAGCAGAAGAAGCCCCGGCUAACUCCGUGCCAGCAGCCGCGGUAAUACGGAGGGGGCUAGCGUUGUUCGGAAUUACUGGGCGUAAAGCGCACGUAGGCGGACUGGAAAGUUGGGGGUGAAAUCCCGGGGCUCAACCUCGGAACUGCCUUCAAAACUAUCAGUCUGGAGUUCGAGAGAGGUGAGUGGAAUACCGAGUGUAGAGGUGAAAUUCGUAGAUAUUCGGUGGAACACCAGUGGCGAAGGCGGCUCACUGGCUCGAUACUGACGCUGAGGUGCGAAAGCGUGUGGAGCAAACAGGAUUAGAUACCCUGGUAGUCCACGC